RNAcentral lists this ribosomal RNA (506 nucleotides) under uncultured bacterium. RNAcentral's name for it is "partial 16S ribosomal RNA". It matches the Rfam family "Bacterial small subunit ribosomal RNA", at positions 29 to 523 of the family's 1533-position model. The record is from RNAcentral.
AGUGAACGCUGGCGGUAGGCCUAACACAUGCAAGUCGAACGGCAGCACAGAGGAGCUUGCUCCUUGGGUGGCGAGUGGCAGACGGGUGAGGAAUACAUCGGAAUCUACUCUGUCGUGGGGGAUAACGUAGGGAAACUUACGCUAAUACCGCAUACGACCUACGGGUGAAAGCAGGGGACCUUCGGGCCCUGCGCGAUUGAAUGAGCCGAUGUCGGAUUAGCUAGUUGGCGGGGUAAAGGCCCACCAAGGCGACGAUCCGUAGCUGGUCUGAGAGGAUGAUCAGCCAAACUGGAACUGAGACACGGUCCAGACUCCUACGGGAGGCAGCAGUGGGGAAUAGUGUACAAGGGGCGCAAGCCUGAUCCAGCCAUACCGCGUGGGUGAAGAAGGCCUUCGGGUUGUAAAGCCCUUUUGUUGGGAAAGAAAUCCAGCUGGCUAAUACCCGGUUGGGAUGACGGUACCCAAAGAAUAAGCACCGGCUAACUUCGUGCCAGCCGCCGCGGUAA